AUCAGGGGUAGGGGAGCGUUGAAUGCGGGUUGAAGGUGUACCGUAAGGAGCGCUGGACUGCAUUCAAGUGAGAAGGCCGGUAUGAGUAACGAAAAGAUCUGGGAGAAUCAGAUCCGCCGAAAGCCUAAGGGUUCCUGAGGAAGGUUCGUCCGCUCAGGGUAAGUCGGGACCUAAGGCGAGGCCGAUAGGCGUAGUCGAAGGACAACAGGUCGAAAUUCCUGUACCACCGUAAUCCGUUAUGAGCGAUGGGGUGACGCAGUAGGGUAGUGACGCGGACGGAUGGAUGUCCGUCUAAGCAGUGAGGCUGGUGUGUAGGCAAAUCCGCACAUCGUAAGGCUGGGCUGUGAUGGGGAGCGAAAAUUGUAGUAGCGAAGGUCAUGAUCUCAGACUGCCAAGAAAAGCCUCUAGCCAGGAGAAGGUGCCCGUACCGCAAACCGACACAGGUAGGCGAGAAGAGAAUUCUAAGGCGCGCGGAAGAACUCUCGUUAAGGAACUCGGCAAAAUGACCCCGUAACUUCGGGAGAAGGGGUGCCUCGGUAGGGUGAAUAGCCCGAGGGGGCCGCAGUGAAAAGGCCCAAGCGACUGUUUAGCAAAAACACAGGUCUGUGCGAAGCCGCAAGGCGAAGUAUACGGGCUGACGCCUGCCCGGUGCUGGAAGGUUAAGGGGAGUGGUAAGCUCGCAAGAGCGAAGCUAUGAACCGAAGCCCCAGUAAACGGCGGCCGUAACUAUAACGGUCCUAAGGUAGCGAAAUUCCUUGUCAGGUAAAUUCUGACCCGCACGAAUGGCGUAACGACUUGGGCGCUGUCUCAACGAGAGAUCCGGUGAAAUUUUAAUACCUGUGAAGAUGCAGGUUACCCGCGACAAGACGGAAAGACCCCAUGGAGCUUUACUGCAGCUUGAUAUUGAAUUUGGGUACGAUCUGUACAGGAUAGGUGGGAGCCUAAGAGACUUGAGCGCCAGCUUGAGAGGAGGCAUCCUUGGGAUACCACCCUGAUCGUAUCUAGGUUCUAACUUGGUACCGUAAUCCGGUACGAGGACAGUGUCAGGUGGGCAGUUUGACUGGGGCGGUCGCCUCCUAAAGAGUAACGGAGGCGCCCCAAGGUUCCCUCAGAAUGGUUGGAAAUCAUUCGAAGAGUGCAAAGGCAGAAGGGAGCUUGACUGCGAGACCUACAAGUCGAGCAGGGACGAAAGUCGGGCUUAGUGAUCCGGUGGUACCGCAUGGAAGGGCCAUCGCUCAACGGAUAAAAGCUACCCUGGGGAUAACAGGCUUAUCUCCCCCAAGAGUCCACAUCGACGGGGAGGUUUGGCACCUCGAUGUCGGCUCAUCGCAUCCUGGGGCUGAAGUAGGUCCCAAGGGUUGGGCUGUUCGCCCAUUAAAGCGGUACGCGAGCUGGGUUCAGAACGUCGUGAGACAGUUCGGUCCCUAUCUGUCGUGGGCGUAGGAAAUUUGAGAGGAGCUGUCCUUAGUACGAGAGGACCGGGAUGGACGUACCGCUGGUGUACCAGUUGUUCCGCCAGGAGCACCGCUGGGUAGCUAUGUACGGAAGGGAUAAGCGCUGAAAGCAUCUAAGCGUGAAGCCCCCCUCAAGAUGAGAUUUCCCAGUAUGUAAGACCCCUUGAAGACGACGAGGUAGAUAGGUUGGGGGUGGAAGUGCAGUAAUGCAUGGAGCUGACCAAUACUAAUCGGUCGAGGGCUUAUCCUA
RNAcentral lists this ribosomal RNA (1704 nucleotides) under Paenibacillus maysiensis. RNAcentral's name for it is "bacterial LSU rRNA". It matches the Rfam family "Bacterial large subunit ribosomal RNA", at positions 1221 to 2925 of the family's 2925-position model. The record is from RNAcentral. Lineage: Bacteria; Bacillati; Bacillota; Bacilli; Caryophanales; Paenibacillaceae.